AUAGAGAUGCCAGAAAAAUUUUAUGGGGUUGAUUUAGGAUUAAUUUAUGACUUUUGAAGUCUCUCUAUU
Molecule: transfer RNA, 69 nt
Filed under: Taenia crocutae
Lineage: Eukaryota; Metazoa; Platyhelminthes; Cestoda; Cyclophyllidea; Taeniidae
Description: tRNA-Leu (CUN)
Source: RNAcentral